Long non-coding RNA from Pseudopipra pipra, 509 nucleotides. RefSeq lists it as uncharacterized. Lineage: Eukaryota; Metazoa; Chordata; Aves; Passeriformes; Pipridae. The record is from RefSeq and is a predicted model, not a curated record. The transcript has 2 exons.
UCCUAUAGCCCAGGAGCUUGUCGGGGCAGAGACCCCACAACUUGUGACAUGCCAGAGCAGCAGAGCUUCACAGGCUGAAGCCUGCCGAGACAGGGUCUUCCCCCCGCUGAGCCCGCUGGCAGAUCAAAUAAAAGGAGAGAAGAGUUAUAACCCCCCUCACUGAGGCCCCCUCCCCUCGAGGAAAAGGAAAAGAGGAAAGAGCAAAUGGUCCUGCGAUGCCAACAGUUCCUACCCCAGCUGGAUGGGAAACAUCACGAAAAGUCAGCUUCUCAGCAUCCCCGGGGAGCCAGGAGAUAUUCUCCUCAACCAGCAAAGGGAAGCUCAGAUGUGGUUGGAGGGUAGGCUGUGUCCUCAUGGAGGUGACAGCACUGUUCCACGGCCUUGAACCAAGGGGGAAGGCCCCAGCAAGCAUCUCCCCAGGGUCCAGCUGUGCCUGUUCCUCCAUCGUGCCAGACCUUUCAGAGCCAACUUCAAGCAAACAGCUUAAUUAAAUGCCUUUAUUCCAAGGA